This 468-nucleotide ribosomal RNA is filed under the name uncultured bacterium. RNAcentral's name for it is "bacterial SSU rRNA". It matches the Rfam family "Bacterial small subunit ribosomal RNA", at positions 29 to 506 of the family's 1533-position model. The record is from RNAcentral.
ACGAACGCUGGCGGCGUGCUUAACACAUGCAAGUCGAACGGUGACGACAGGAGCUUGCUUCUGUUUGAUCAGUGGCGAACGGGUGAGUAACACGUGAGUAACCUGCCCCAGACUCUGGGAUAACCCCGGGAAACCGGAGCUAAUACCGGAUAUGACACCAGUCCGCAUGGGCAUGGUGUGGAAAGUUUUUCGGUCUGGGAUGGACUCGCGGCCUAUCAGCUUGUUGGUGAGGUAGUGGCUCACCAAGGCGACGACGGGUAGCCGGCCUGAGAGGGCGACCGGCCAUACUGGGACUGAGACACGGCCCAGACUCCUACGGGAGGCAGCAGUGGGGAAUAUUGCACAAUGGGCGGAAGCCUGAUGCAGCGACGCCGCGUGAGGGAUGACGGCCUUCGGGUUGUAAACCUCUUUCAGCAGGGAAGAAGCGAAAGUGACGGUACCUGCAGAAGAAGCACCGGCUAACUACGU